AUGAUAGGUGUUGUUUUACAGGGUCAGUCAUAGUAGUAUGAUAGGUGUUGUUUUACAGGGUCAGUCAUAGUAGUAUGAUAGGUGUUGUUUUACAGGGUCAGUCAUAGUAGUACGAUAGGUGUUGUUUUACAGGGUCAGUCAUAGUAGUAUGAUAGGUGUUGUUUUACAGGGUCAGUCAUAGUAGUACGAUAGGUGUUGUUUUACAGGGUCAGUCAUAGUAGUAUGAUAGGUGUUGUUUUACAGGGUCAGUCAUAGUAGUACGAUAGGUGUUGUUUUACAGGGUCAGUCAUAGUAGUAUGAUAGGUGUUGUUUUACAGGGUCAGUCAUAGUAGUACGAUAGGUGUUGUUUUACAGGGUCAGUCAUAGUAGUAUGAUAGGUGUUGUUUUACAGGGUCAGUCAUAGUAGUAUGAUAGGUGUUGUUUUACAGGGUCAGUCAUAGUAGUAUGAUAGGUGUUGUUUUACAGGGUCAGUAGUAUGAUAGGUGUUGUUGUACAGGGUCAGUCAUAGUAGUAUGAUAGGUGUUGUUUUACAGGGUCAGUCAUAGUAGUAUGAUAGGUGUUGUUUUCCAGGGUCAGUCAUAGUAGUAUGAUAGGUGUUGUUUUACAGGGUCAGUCAUAGUAGUAUGAUAGGGGUUGUUGUACAGGGUCAGUCAUAGUAGUAUGAUAGGUGUUGUUUUACAGGGUCAGUCAUAGUAGUAUGAUAGGUGUUGUUAUACAGGGUCAGUCAUAGUAGUAUGAUAGGUGUUGUUUUACAGGGUCAGCCAUAGUAGUAUGAUAGGUGUUGUUUACAGGGUCAGUCAUAGUAGUAUGAUAGGUGUUGUUUUACAGGGUCAGUCAUAGUAGUAUGAUAGGUGUUGUUAUACAGGGUCAGUCAUAGUAGUAUGAUAGGUGUUGUUUUACAGGGUCAGUCAUAGUAGUAUGAUAGGUGUUGUUUUACAGGGUCAGUCAUAGUAGUAUGAUAGGUGUUGUUUACAGGGUCAGUCAUAGUAGUAUGAUAGGUGUUGUUUUACAGGGUCAGUCAUAGUAGUAUGAUAGGUGUUGUUUACAGGGUCAGUCAUAGUAGUAUGAUAGGUGGUGUUUUACAGGGUCAGUCAUAGUAGUAUGAUAGGUGGUGUUUUACAGGGUCAGUCAUAGUAGUAUGAUAGGUGUUGUUUUACAGGGUCAGUCAUAGUAGUAUGAUAGGUGUUGUUUACAGGGUCAGUCAUAGUAGUAUGAUAGGUGUUGUUUACAGGGUCAGUCAUAGUAGUAUGAUAGGUGUUGUUUUACAGGGUCAGUCAUAGUAGUAUGAUAGGUGUUGUUUACAGGGUCAGUCAUAGUAGUAUGAUAGGUGUUGUUUUACAGGGUCAGUCAUAGUAGUAUGAUAGGUGUUGUUAUACAGGGUCAGUCAUAGUAGUAUGAUAGGUGUUGUUUUACAGGGUCAGUCAUAGUAGUAUGAUAGGUGUUGUUUUACAGGGUCAGUCAUAGUAGUAUGAUAGGUGUUGUUUUACAGGGUCAGUCAUAGUAGUAUGAUAGGUGUUGUUUUACAGGGUCAGUCAUAGUAGUAUGAUAGGUGUUGUUUUACAGGGUCAGUCAUAGUAGUGUGAUAGGUGUUGUUUUACAGGGUCAGUCAUAGUAGUGUGAUAGGUGUUGUUUUACAGGGUCAGUCAUAGUAGUAUGAUAGGUGUUGUUUUACAGGGUCAGUCAUAGUAGUGUGAUAGGUGUUGUUUUACAGGGUCAGUCAUAGUAGUGUGAUAGGUGUUGUUUUACAGGGUCAGUCAUAGUAGUAUGAUAGGUGUUGUUUUACAGGGUCAGUAGUAUGAUAGGUGUUGUUUUACAGGGUCAGUCAUAGUAGUAUGAUAGGUGUUGUUUUACAGGGUCAGUCAUAGUAGUAUGAUAGGUGUUGUUUUACAGGGUCAGUCAUAGUAGUAUGAUAGGUGUUGUUUUACAGGGUCAGUCAUAGUAGUAUGAUAGGUGAUGUUUUACAGGGUCAGUCAUAGUAGUAUGAUAGGUGGUGUUUUACAGGGUCAGUCAUAGUAGUAUGAUAGGUGUUGUUUUACAGGGUCAGUCAUAGUAGUAUAAUAGGUGUUGUUUUACAGGGUCAGUCAUAGUAGUAUGAUAGGUGUUGUUUUACAGGGUCAGUCAUAGUAGUAUGAUAGGUGUUGUUUUACAGGGUCAGUCAUAGUAGUAUGACAGGUGUUGUUUUACAGGGUCAGUCAUAGUGGUAUGAUGGGUGUUGUUUUACAGGGUCAGUCAUAGUAGUAUGAUAGGUGUUGUUUUACAGGGUCAGUCAUAGUAGUAUGAUAGGUGUUGUUUUACAGGGUCAGUCAUAGUAGUAUGAUAGGUGUUGUUUUACAGGGUCAGUCAUAGUAGUAUGAUAGGUGUUGUUUUACAGGGUCAGUCAUAGUAGUAUGAUGGGUG
Oncorhynchus keta (chum salmon) is the source of this 2397-nucleotide long non-coding RNA. RefSeq lists it as uncharacterized. NCBI's taxonomy places the organism in Eukaryota, Metazoa, Chordata, Actinopteri, Salmoniformes, Salmonidae. The record is from RefSeq and is a predicted model, not a curated record. The transcript has 6 exons.